This 437-nucleotide ribosomal RNA is filed under the name uncultured bacterium. RNAcentral's name for it is "bacterial SSU rRNA". It matches the Rfam family "Bacterial small subunit ribosomal RNA", at positions 28 to 490 of the family's 1533-position model. The record is from RNAcentral.
GACGAACGCUGGCGGUGUGCUUCACACAUGCAAGUCGAACGGGGUAGCAAUACCCAGUGGCGGACGGGUGAGUAACGCGUAGGAAUCUGCCUUGAGAUGGGGGAUAACAGUCCGAAAGGACUGCUAAUACCGCAUAUGUAUGUAUCUCGACAGAGGUGUAUAUGAAAGGAGUAAUCCGUCUUAAGAUGAGCCUUGCGUCCGAUUAGCUAGUUGGUAGGGUAAAAGCCACCAAGGCGACGAUCGGUAGCUGGUCUGAGAGGAUGAUCAGCCACAAUAGGGGCUGAGACACGGCCCAUACUCCUACGGGAGGCAGCAGUGGGGAAUUUUGUGCAAUGGGCGAAAGCCUGACACAGCGACACCGCGUGAGCGAAGAAGCCCUUUGGGGGUGUAAAGCUCUGUCGGCUGGAACGAAAAAAUGACGGUACCAGCAAAGGAAG